UGGGGAAUCUUCCGCAAUGGACGAAAGUCUGACGGAGCAACGCCGCGUGAGUGAAGACGGCCUUCGGGUUGUAAAGCUCUGUGAUCCGGGACGAAAGAGCCUGAGGUAAAUAGCCUAAGGAAGUGACGGUACCGGAAAAGCAAGCCACGGCUAACUACGUGCCAGCAGCCGCGGUAAUACGUAGGUGGCAAGCGUUGUCCGGAAUUAUUGGGCGUAAAGCGCGCGCAGGCGGCUUACUAAGUCCAUCUUAAAAGUGCGGGGCUUAACCCCGUGAUGGGAUGGAAACUGGAAAGCUGGAGUAUCGGAGAGGAAAGUGGAAUUCCUAGUGUAGCGGUGAAAUGCGUAGAGAUUAGGAAGAACACCGGUGGCGAAGGCGACUUUCUGGACGAAAACCGACGCUGAGGCGCGAAAGCGUGGGGAGCAAACAGG
Molecule: ribosomal RNA, 429 nt
Filed under: Fusobacteriota bacterium
Lineage: Bacteria; Fusobacteriati; Fusobacteriota
Description: Fusobacteria bacterium partial 16S ribosomal RNA
Rfam family: Bacterial small subunit ribosomal RNA
Source: RNAcentral